Rosa chinensis is the source of this 1365-nucleotide long non-coding RNA. RefSeq lists it as uncharacterized. NCBI's taxonomy places the organism in Eukaryota, Viridiplantae, Streptophyta, Magnoliopsida, Rosales, Rosaceae. The transcript has 7 exons. The record is from RefSeq and is a predicted model, not a curated record.
GAUAGACAUCAAUCCUCUAAAACAGAAAAUAUCCCACUAUAUGCGUCUCAACAUCAUCAGAGGCCCAAAACAAUGAACCGACCCUUCUACACCAUAUGCGUUUCAUCAGAGCCCCAAAACAGUAAACCGAUCCUUCUCAAUAUUUGAUUUUCCCCCAAAACGCUUUUGGAUCUCUCUCAGAGCGAAGAGUACUGCUUUGGUUUGUUUGUUGAUCCACAGUUAUUAGGGCAGAGAGGAGCUGUUACUUGCGAUUUGCGAAUUUGAUUUGGAUCAAGAUUCUAUGCGAAAGAGUUUACAUGUCAUUCUGCUGCCACUGUUCCUUUGUCUAUUGGUUAAUACUAUCUUGAUUUGUUACUCUUAUUCAGAUUCUGGGAACAGUGUGCUGGCAAAUUGUUUAGCUGUUUUAAAUUCAGAUUUCAGGAAUAGUCUGCUGUCAAAUUGUCCAACUGUUUCAUAUCCCGAUGUGAAGAAAUGGAAGUCUUGACAAAUCCAAGUCACUUCUAUUUAUCAUAAAUAGUCUCAUUAAAAUUGGUUGGUUUGAAAGUAAUAUGGGAUGUGACAAUUUUGAACUGUGUUAGCCAAAAUUGCAUAUAUGGUAAACAUUUUGUGUCAACUCGCUAUGACGCGUCGGCAAAGAAGAGUUACAGGAGAUGUGCAUUUACACAGUGUGGAAAAUUCUGGUGCUACCCCUCGGCAGAGAAAAAUUAGAAGAAAUGUGUCCUUGCAAAGCACUGAAAAUAUUGCAGACGAAGUUUGCAGUAGGAAACGAAACAAAUAUGCGUCUACUGCAAAUAUCAAUCCAUAUACUAGCACAUCCAUUACUGAAGAACCUGAAAAUUCUGCAAAUAUCAGUACAUAUGCAAGCACAUCCAAUAAUAGAGAACCUGAAAAUGAAACUUCAUGUGGAAACAGUAUUGGACAAGCAUUCUAUCAAAGAAAAAGACGUGGAGAAACCUUGGUGUACUCAGAUAUUGGAGAUAUGAGUUAUGUUUGUAUCGACUGCAACGCUUUAUUCUGGUUAAAUGAAUCGAAAAAGCAAGUGUCCAAAAAUAACCCCCCAAUAUAUACAAAAUGUUGUCAAGAAGGUAGAAUCAAACUUGAAGUAUCACUCCCUACACCUCCUUUUUUGGAACAUUUGCUUGAUCCGAAUAAUGAUCGACAUUUUAGAGAAAACAUACGUGCUUAUAAUUCUAUGUUUGCAUUUACGUCGAUGGGAGCUAAAAUCGAUGAAACAAUCAAUGAUGGAUCCGGACCCUACAUUUUUAAAAUUAGUGGCCAAGUACAUCAUCUAAUGGGUUCUCUCUUACCUAUUGAAGGUGAAUCUCCGAAAUUUGCACAACUGUAUAUAUAUGACACUCAUAAUGA